ACGGAAGGCAGCAGUGGGGAAUAUUGGACAAUGGGGGAAACCCUGAUCCAGCGACGCCGCGUGAGUGAAGAAGUAUUUCGGUAUGUAAAGCUCUAUCAGCAAGGAAGAAAAUGACGGUACUUGACUAAGAAGCUCCGGCUAAAUACGUGCCAGCAGCCGCGGUAAUACGUAUGGAGCAAGCGUUAUCCGGAUUUACUGGGUGUAAAGGGAGCGUAGACGGCGAAGCAAGUCUGAAGUGAAAGCCCACGGCUCAACCGUGGAACUGCUUUGGAAACUGUUUUGCUAGAGUGCAGGAGGGGCAGGCGGAAUUCCUAGUGUAGCGGUGAAAUGCGUAGAUAUUAGGAGGAACACCGGUGGCGAAGGCGGCCUGCUGGACUGUAACUGACGUUGAGGCUCGAAAGCGUGGGGAGCAAACAGGAUUAGAUACCCUGGUA
RNAcentral lists this ribosomal RNA (434 nucleotides) under uncultured Lachnospiraceae bacterium. RNAcentral describes it as "partial 16S ribosomal RNA". It matches the Rfam family "Bacterial small subunit ribosomal RNA", at positions 341 to 792 of the family's 1533-position model. Lineage: Bacteria; Bacillati; Bacillota; Clostridia; Lachnospirales; Lachnospiraceae. The record is from RNAcentral.